Molecule: ribosomal RNA, 253 nt
Filed under: uncultured bacterium
Lineage: Bacteria
Description: partial 16S ribosomal RNA
Rfam family: Bacterial small subunit ribosomal RNA
Source: RNAcentral
UACGAGGGGGGCAAGCGUUGUUCGGAAUUAUUGGGCGUAAAGGGCGCGUAGGCGGUUUGACAAGUCUGAUGUGAAAUCUAUGGGCUCAACCCAUAGCCUGCAUUAGAAACUGUCGGGCUUGAGUAUGGGAGAGGUGAGUGGAAUUUCCGGUGUAGCGGUGAAAUGCGUAGAUAUCGGAUGGAACACCUGUGGCGAAAGCGGCUCACUGGACCAUAACUGACGCUGAGGCGCGAAAGCUAGGGGAGCAAACAGG